GACGAACGCGGCGGCGUGCCUAAUACAUGCAAGUAGAACGCUGAAGGAAGGAGCUUGCUCUCUCCGGAUGAGUUGCGAACGGGUGAGUAACGCGUAGGUAACCUGCCUGGUAGCGGGGGAUAACUAUUGGAAACGAUAGCUAAUACCGCAUAAUAGCAGUUAUUGCAUGAUAACUGUUUGAAAGGUGCAAAUGCAUCACUACCAGAUGGACCUGCGUUGUAUUAGCUAGUUGGUGGGGUAACGGCUCACCAAGGCGACGAUACAUAGCCGACCCGAGAGGGUGAUCGGCCACACUGGGACUGAGACACGGCCCAGACUCCUACGGGAGGCAGCAGUAGGGAAUCUUCGGCAAUGGACGGAAGUCUGACCGAGCAACGCCGCGUGAGUGAAGAAGGUUUUCGGAUCGUAAAGCUCUGUUGUAAGAGAAGAACGAGUGUGAGAGUGGAAAGUUCACACUGUGACGGUAUCU
This 469-nucleotide ribosomal RNA is filed under the name Streptococcus mitis. Its description in RNAcentral is "bacterial SSU rRNA". It matches the Rfam family "Bacterial small subunit ribosomal RNA", at positions 28 to 480 of the family's 1533-position model. The record is from RNAcentral. Lineage: Bacteria; Bacillati; Bacillota; Bacilli; Lactobacillales; Streptococcaceae.